RNAcentral lists this microRNA precursor (95 nucleotides) under Erythranthe guttata (spotted monkey flower). RNAcentral describes it as "Mimulus guttatus (spotted monkey flower) mir-399 microRNA precursor family". It matches the Rfam family "mir-399 microRNA precursor family". Rfam says of the family: mir-399 was identified in both Arabidopsis thaliana and Oryza sativa computationally and was later experimentally verified. mir-399 is thought to target mRNAs coding for a phosphatase transporter. The mature sequence is excised from the 3' arm of the hairpin. Lineage: Eukaryota; Viridiplantae; Streptophyta; Magnoliopsida; Lamiales; Phrymaceae. The record is from Rfam by way of RNAcentral.
AAAAGAAUAACAGAGUGAUUCUCGUUUGGCAGAGACGACGACAUGCGAAUGCAUACAUAUUCUUUGCCAAAGGAGAAUUGCCCUGCCAUUCAAUC